AGAACGAACGCUGGCGGCAGGCUUAACACAUGCAAGUCGAGCGCCCCGCAAGGGGAGCGGCAGACGGGUGAGUAACGCGUGGGAAUCUACCUAGCUCUUCGGAAUAGCUCCGGGAAACUGGAAUUAAUACCGAGUACGCCCUACGGGGGAAAGAUUUAUCGGAGUUAGAUGAGCCCGCGUUGGAUUAGCUAGUUGGUGGGGUAAUGGCCUACCAAGGCGACGAUCCAUAGCUGGUCUGAGAGGAUGAUCAGCCACACUGGGACUGAGACACGGCCCAGACUCCUACGGGAGGCAGCAGUGGGGAAUAUUGGACAAUGGGCGCAAGCCUGAUCCAGCCAUGCGCGUGAGUGAUGAAGGCCCUAGGGUUGUAAAGCUCUUUCAGUGGGGAAGAUAAUGACGGUACCCACAGAAGAAGCCCCGGCUAACUUCGUGCCAGCAGCCGC
Molecule: ribosomal RNA, 443 nt
Filed under: uncultured soil bacterium
Lineage: Bacteria
Description: bacterial SSU rRNA
Rfam family: Bacterial small subunit ribosomal RNA
Source: RNAcentral